AAACAUAAGAGUUUGAUCCUGGCUCAGGACGAACGCUGGCGGCGUGCCUAACACAUGCAAGUCGAGCGGAGAUGCCAAGGAGCAAUCUGAGGUGUCUUAGCGGCGGACGGGUGAGUAACACGUGGGUAACCUACCCCAAGGAGGGGGAUAACAGGUCGAAAGGCCUGCUAAUACCGCAUAAAGCUUGUGUAUCGCAUGAUACAUAAGCCAAAGGAGGAAUCCGCCUUGGGAUGGGCCCGCGGCCCAUUAGCUAGUUGGUGAGGUAACGGCUCACCAAGGCGACGAUGGGUAGCCGGCCUGAGAGGGUGGUCGGCCACACUGGGACUGAGACACGGCCCAGACUCCUACGGGAGGCAGCAGUGGGGAAUAUUGCGCAAUGGGGGAAACCCUGACGCAGCGACGCCGCGUGAGCGAAGAAGGCCUUCGGGUUGUAAAGCUCUGUCUUCCCUGACGAAGAAAGUGACGGUAAGGGAGGAGGAAGCCACGGCUAACUACGUGCCAGCAGCCGCGGUAAUACGUAGGUGGCGAGCGUUGUCCGGAAUUACUGGGCGUAAAGGGUGCGUAGGCGGCUCCUUAAGUGAGGUGUGAAAUCCCUGGGCUCAACCCAGGAACUGCACUUCAAACUGGGGAGCUAGAGUGCAGGAGAGGAAAGCGGAAUUCCCGGUGUAGCGGUGAAAUGCGUAG
This 684-nucleotide non-coding RNA is filed under the name Caloramator australicus RC3. RNAcentral describes it as "Bacterial small subunit ribosomal RNA". It matches the Rfam family "Bacterial small subunit ribosomal RNA", at positions 1 to 693 of the family's 1533-position model. Lineage: Bacteria; Bacillati; Bacillota; Clostridia; Eubacteriales; Clostridiaceae. The record is from Rfam by way of RNAcentral.